UUGCACAUAUUGUCAGAGAAUAGUGCAAUGCAACUUCUAAACAAACCGAUGAAUCUGGUUCACUACUUGUUUACAGAACAACGAGGUACAAACUAUCUCAUUGUUACAUUCUUACACCUACUUUGUAAUUCACAGUGUUCUUUCUGUGGGACUAUUAGUAUUCUGGGAGCUCACGUUGCUGUUUGCCUUGCUGUGCACAGAUUGCUGUCCGGAUUUUGGUACCUGCGUGUCUGGCUUCAUCUCCGUGCACCGGGGGGCUCGGAGCCCGGCGUCCCAGCCAACGGGCUGGAAGGAACAUCAGCCGGGAGGCAGGGGAACAGGCAGCGAGAGCGAACAGGGGUUAUUAAUGGUGACCGCUGGAGCCCGGCAGAAUGACAAAACAGGGGGAAACAAACAGCGUGUGAAAUGCACACCUGUCUGCGGAGUCUCGGAGGGGGCCGUGAAGGAGAAGGUGAGUACUAUGAAGAUGGACGAGGAGGUGCCGGGCGCUGUAGAGGAGGAGGAGGAGGGCUACGAGGAGGUGGGCGCAGGCAAGGAGAAGGGUGUUGCAGAGGCCAAAUGAGGUGUAGGGCAAUGAGGAGGUGCAGAAAACAAAACGCUCAAGGAGCCGGAGGGAGGAUGUGGUGUACACUACAGAGAAGGAGGAGAGGGACGUACGGAAUACGAGAGGAAAGAGGAGGCGUGUGAUGGUGUUGCAGAGAACGAGUAGGUGGAGGAAGCGGACGCUCGGCUCAGCUGCUUUUGUGUCUGAACUGGAGUCACGUCCACCGGGGUUUGACAGAAAAACUAGCGAGAGGGAGAGAGACAGGAAAGAGAGAGAGAGAGAGAGAGAGAGAGAGAGAAUGUUAACCCAUAUUUAUAUCACUAUGUGGUGUCAGCGGUCAGUGUGUGAGGUUUCCUGUUGCCUGGUUACGGUAUCGCAACAGCAGCGUCAGUGUCUGUGUCAUCCUCCCAGCGGUGGGCGUCUGCACGACUCCCUCACUGUCGCCGCCGUGUCCGCUGCCUUCAUACGAUAGCGCCGUCGAGAAGAACCUCCCCUCUGACAGAGGAUUCUGUGAGCAGCCCUACGGCUCUGCUGCAGGUACCCGAGGAUGGAAUAGCAGUGGCCAAGCUGGAGUGGCACCUGUCUGUUCCUGCACGCUGGAUUCUCACCGGAUAUUGUACACCUGGGAAUUCACUCUCACCGUCCUCACGCCCGUUCCUGCCGCUCACCGACCCUUGUGUCAUUGAAUAAAUCCGACUUGCACCUGCUUUUCUGGGCGACUGUGGAAAAAUAUAAUUCCGCCCACGAGACGACCUCAAAUUUGCGGACAGUUUUCUUGAUUUCUGACAUCCAUUCUGACACCUCCACGCUGGCAGAAUGGAUUUCUACCAUUUAUCGUCCAUCGAUCCGUCUCCUACUCUCUUUUGAACUGGGGAAAUAACCCGUGGCCCUCUCCUGCAAGAAGGACCCCGGAAUCACAGCGGAGACCCCGCUCGGUUUGCCAAGCGUGGACGGGUCAUUUUCCUCGGAUGGAGUCUGUGCCACAAUCUAAUUUUCAAUUCAUCACAGGACAUAAGUAGAUGGCCUCCGCUGUCUUUCUAAAGAUUUCCCGCUCGCAGUGUGACAAAUUGCCAGCGACCGACUCUGGCAGACUGCAUGAGAGCAACGCACCAUACUUCAUAUCAGAUUCAUUUUAUGCCACUGCGAACGCAUUACAACUACGGCCUGUGAACAUUACAACUACUCCUUCAAAAUCUGCAGCUCUCAACUGCAAAUCAUCUCGUAACAGAGUUUGCCAGUUUCAAGAAAUAAAAGGAAAACAUCUUUGAACUGCACGCGUAAUGUGGUAUGUGUAAAACCUGUGCCUCCAGUACAUAAAAACAAAUCAUCCCAAAACUGAGCUUGGGGGCAAAGCUGUCUGGGCGCGUAAGCGCUUUUUAUUGCUUAUAAAAUAAAGAUAAAUAGUAAAGAG
This is a long non-coding RNA of Gasterosteus aculeatus aculeatus (three-spined stickleback), 1955 nucleotides long. The record is from Ensembl. Lineage: Eukaryota; Metazoa; Chordata; Actinopteri; Perciformes; Gasterosteidae.